This 3269-nucleotide unclassified non-coding RNA is filed under the name Hevea brasiliensis (rubber tree). Lineage: Eukaryota; Viridiplantae; Streptophyta; Magnoliopsida; Malpighiales; Euphorbiaceae. The record is from RNAcentral.
AAAUUCUUUCCUUGGAAACAAAUAGUUAAUAGUACAAAAUUAAUAACAGCUUUACAUGAUGCAUGAUUCAUCAAAGUUAAAAUUUCCUAUGAACAGAUUAUUGCAAAAUGCAAUCAAGCCGUGAAAACUUUGUUCAGAAACAUUUGCUGUUUAUGAGGAAAUUUGUCCAAACAAUAAUGAUCACUAACUAUAGUCUAUAGGAAUAGGACAUAACAUCCCAUCCCAUCCAAUUCCAAAGUUUAAACUAAAGAAAUCAUAAUUCAAAUUCCAUGUGCAUUCCAACUAUUGACAUUAAUUAUAUUAGGAAGCUUGUGGCGAGCAAAAACUUAGUAAGAGACAAUAACUGUUAAAAAUAAAAGAGUUUGAGAAGCCAAUUACAGCAACGCAGGCCUAUAUUUAACUUCAGUUCCAACCAGAUAUUAUAUCAAGAACCUGAGAUCUGCCCAACAGAUGUGUCCAUAUCCAGUAAAGUGCAGAAGAGGAUACCAUCAUUAUCAACAGUGAAAACGUUAGUUUCUUCAAUCCAAGGCAUCAAUGUAAACAUUCAGUAAUCCCCCCCACCCCCCCAACCUGUGCAUUUAAGCUUCUUUGACGAAGCAACUCUACUUGAAUAGCAAUGCAGUCUUGCUGAAAUAUGGACAAAGAAGAAACAAAUUCAGAAGGAUGCCCAAAUGUUGAACAAUGAGACACCAUCAUAUAGCCGACAAGAGAUCCAUCAACCUUGGAUGACACAACCAUCAAAUCAAAAAAAUAAGCAGAUGGGGGUAAAGAUAAUUAGCAACACAAGUAAGGAAAACAUACCAUGGAAAAAUUAACUUGCUUCAAGAUACAGAGCUAGAGCAGAGGACGGGUUGUGCUCUUCUGGUUCCCCUCGCAACCAAUCCCGUGCACAUAUCAGAGCCUGUCGAGUGUCUGGAUUCAGUGAACUUCGAUGACUAUCAAGCACCCUACCUCCAAUGCUAAACGCCAACUCUGGUGCAACAGUAGACAUGGGAGUCCCCAAAACAUCACGUGCCAUCAUGGCCAAGAUAGGGUACCUUGGUCUGUGGACUUUCCACCAGUUUAGUAUGUUAAAAUCACAAUUACGAGGAAAGACAGGUUCCUCUAAAUAUUUGUCCAAAUCAGAUGCUACACUCUGCGUUUGAGAAGUCUCGUGCAGGAACUUGUCAAAGCCCUUUAAUCUAUCUCUACUGUCACUGCUGGUACUAGGUAAACUGUUGCCAGGCAAAGCUGAACCUUGAUCAACCAAUGUUGAACAGAUAGAGUAUGCAUUAAAAAGUUCUUUAAUACCAUCAGAAACUUCCUUGAUUCGAUCCAGGGCAGUACUACCAUAUAUCUGAGAAUAGUAGUAUUCCACCAACUUCAUCUUGAAUCGGGGAUCUAAGAUAGCUGCUACUGCCAAAGCCAAACUACACUUGCUCCAAUAUUUAUCAAACUUAGCUUUCAUCUUCAAUGCUAUGGAGCUAAGGAAAUCAUUUGUGCUCUUGCACCAUUCAAUUAAUUGGAUGUGAACAUCACAAAUCUCAGGAAAAUAUAUAUUUGCUGUCAUACAUUUGUUACCAGAAAAGACAUUGGUGAUUUCAACAAAAAGUUUCAAAUAACUAGUGAUAGAACUUGACCAUUCCCACUCUGCAUCGGUUAAAGCUGAUGAAUAGGCUGGGUCAUGCUCUUGCAACAGAGAAAAUGCACUCUUGUAUUCCAAUGCUGUUUCAAGCAUGAAAUAUGUUGUGUUCCAGUGAAUUGGAGAAUCAAGAACUAAGGUCUUCUGACUGCUGAUUCCAACUUGCUGGGAUAUCUCGUUGAACUUCCCAUGUGUUGCCUGUGAACUUUUAACAUAUCUGACACUUCCUCGAAUCUUUUGGGUCACUUCACGGAGUGCUUCCAUGGCAUCUUGAACAAUGCAAUUAAGAACAUGUGCAGCAGAACGUACAUCAAAUAACUGGCCAUUACUCAAAAGGGGUCUGUUUUGAGAGAUUCGGUCCUUAAUUCUGAGGACAAUAUCAUCAUCGAUGGAACAGUCAUCAAAUGUCAUGGCAAACAACUUGCAUUCAAUGUCCCACUCCAUAAGACACUUAAUAAUAACUUCUGAAAGCAUAUCUUCUGUAUGAGAAGGAUCCAGUGUCACAAAAUUUAGAAUCUUCUUCUGUAAUUUCCAAUCCUCAUCAAUAUAAUGUGCUGUCAAACACAAGUACUCUGUGUUUUCUGGAGAAGACCACAUUUCAAUGGAGAGGUUAAUUCUGCCCUGCAAUCUAUUUAUCAUUUCAUACACUUUCUCUUUCUCUUUCCCAUAAAUUUCCACGCAGGAGAGUUCUAUGGAGGUAUUUGGCAAAAACUCAAACAAAGGCUGGAGAUUUUUGACAAAUAUUUUGAAUCCAACAUGCUCAACCAUAGACAAUGGAUAACCAUGUAAUAUAAUCAUGCGGGCAAGAUCAAGCUGACUCCGCUCUUGAUCAAACCUACUACUUCCAAGACUAAUAACUUCAUCUUUUCUCUGCUCCUGGUCAUACUUUAUAACUGUGGGCUUAAUAUAUUCAUCUUUUCUUUGUCCUUCAUCAUAAUUGACAUUUGGAAGGCUAAGGGUAGUUUCCUUUUUCCUUCUCUUUGCUGCAAGUAGUUGUGACACAUCACAAUUAGAUCUUUUCAAGCAUCGCAUCAAGUGAUUUCUCAGAUGCGUAGUUCCACUAUUACUUGACCCACUUAGCCUCUUGUUACAAUGUACACAAACAGCAUAACAUAUGUCAGCCUUCCUAACCCUUUCAAAGUGAUUCCACACCACAGAGGUUAACCUUUUCGGUUUCUUAAUAGCUGAUUCAUUUGAGACUUCCAUUGCAUAAGGUGGAAUCAGCCAGUCUGCAUAUCACAUAAGCAAAUGAAAACAUAAUUUAAGUUUCUUCUGAAGAAGGGGAUAAAAGAAAUUAUGAAUCAUGUUAUGAAUAAGUAUAGUUCAAAUUUGCAUUUUAAAUUCAUCAUAAUUUAAAAUAAUCUGACAAAUAAUGAUCUAAUGAUUUUUACUGAAUCCAACAAAUAAUGAUCUACAACUUGUCAUAUCUUAAACAGUCAAAAUUAUGGAACUAAAAUUUAAUUAAAAAAGAGAAAUCCAAAGAUAAUUGAAGAAAAAGUUAAUAUUUUUUAAUUUGUUGUUUGAGGAAAAGGAAUUUCAUAGAAAGGUAUCGGUUGUUAUUUGCCUAUUUGAAGUUUCUUAUAUUUUUUUUAUAUGAUUUUGGCAGACUAUUAUGAUUUUUUUUGCACAUUGAAGAAGAAAAAUAGUU